GACGGAGGGGGCUAGCGUUGUUCGGAAUUACUGGGCGUAAAGCGCGCGUAGGCGGCGCGUCAAGUCAGGUGUGAAAGCCCCGGGCUCAACCCGGGAAUUGCACUUGAGACUGGCGUGCUCGAGUCCGGGAGAGGGUGGUAGAAUUCCCAGUGUAGAGGUGAAAUUCGUAGAUAUUGGGAGGAACACCGGUGGCGAAGGCGGCCACCUGGUCCGGUACUGACGCUGAGGCGCGAAAGCGUGGGGAGCAAACAGG
RNAcentral lists this ribosomal RNA (253 nucleotides) under uncultured bacterium. Its description in RNAcentral is "partial 16S ribosomal RNA". It matches the Rfam family "Bacterial small subunit ribosomal RNA", at positions 524 to 776 of the family's 1533-position model. The record is from RNAcentral.